AAUACAACUCUCAGCAACGGAUAUCUUGGCUCUUGCAACGAUGAAGAACGCAGCGAAAUGCGAUACGUAGUGUGAAUUGCAGAAUUCCGCGAAUCAUCGAGUUUUUGAACGCAAGUUGCGCCCGAGGCUCGUCCGAGGGCAUUCCUGCCAGAGCGUCAUC
RNAcentral lists this ribosomal RNA (160 nucleotides) under Funaria hygrometrica. RNAcentral describes it as "5.8S ribosomal RNA". It matches the Rfam family "5.8S ribosomal RNA". Rfam says of the family: 5.8S ribosomal RNA (5.8S rRNA) is a component of the large subunit of the eukaryotic ribosome. RNAcentral also lists the same sequence under 7 other names. The record is from RNAcentral. Lineage: Eukaryota; Viridiplantae; Streptophyta; Bryopsida; Funariales; Funariaceae.